GGUCUACAGGUAAUUAACUUAACCGUGGUCUACAGGUGGUUAACAGCCUGUGGUCUACAGGUAAUUAACUUAACCGUGGUCUACAGGUAGUUAACAGCCUGUUGUCUACAGGUAGUUAACAGCCUGUGGUCUACAGGUAAUUAACUUAAUCGUGGUCUACAGGCAAUUAACUUAACCGUGGUCUACAGGUAGUUAACUUAACCGUGGUCUACAGGUAGUUAACAGCCUGUGGUCUACAGGUAAUUAACUUAACCGUGGUCUACAG
Long non-coding RNA from Oncorhynchus tshawytscha (Chinook salmon), 265 nucleotides. NCBI's taxonomy places the organism in Eukaryota, Metazoa, Chordata, Actinopteri, Salmoniformes, Salmonidae. The record is from Ensembl.